RNAcentral lists this ribosomal RNA (679 nucleotides) under Salmonella enterica subsp. enterica serovar Anatum. RNAcentral's name for it is "partial 23S ribosomal RNA". It matches the Rfam family "Bacterial large subunit ribosomal RNA", at positions 1084 to 1681 of the family's 2925-position model. The record is from RNAcentral. Lineage: Bacteria; Pseudomonadati; Pseudomonadota; Gammaproteobacteria; Enterobacterales; Enterobacteriaceae.
CCCAGACAGCCAGGAUGUUGGCUUAGAAGCAGCCAUCAUUUAAAGAAAGCGUAAUAGCUCACUGGUCGAGUCGGCCUGCGCGGAAGAUGUAACGGGGCUAAACCAUGCACCGAAGCUGCGGCAGCGAACGUAUCACUUAAAGCGAUUCAGCGGGUUACGAUUGACGGAGCGAAGCGACGUCAAAGCGUAUACAAAGUCGAGUCGGUUUAAGGAUACGUUCGUUGGGUAGGGGAGCGUUCUGUAAGCCUGUGAAGGUGGCCUGUGAGGGUUGCUGGAGGUAUCAGAAGUGCGAAUGCUGACAUAAGUAACGAUAAAGCGGGUGAAAAGCCCGCUCGCCGGAAGACCAAGGGUUCCUGUCCAACGUUAAUCGGGGCAGGGUGAGUCGACCCCUAAGGCGAGGCCGAAAGGCGUAGUCGAUGGGAAACAGGUUAAUAUUCCUGUACUUGGUGUUACUGCGAAGGGGGGACGGAGAAGGCUAUGUUGGCCGGGCGACGGUUGUCCCGGUUUAAGCGUGUAGGUGUGUGUUCCAGGUAAAUCCGGUUCACUUUAACACUGAGGCGUGACGACGAGGCACUACGGUGCUGAAGCAACAAAUGCCCUGCUUCCAGGAAAAGCCUCUAAGCAUCAGGUAACACGAAAUCGUACCCCAAACCGACACAGGUGGUCAGGUAGAGAAUAC